This 815-nucleotide ribosomal RNA is filed under the name Cordyceps javanica. Its description in RNAcentral is "partial large subunit ribosomal RNA". It matches the Rfam family "Eukaryotic large subunit ribosomal RNA", at positions 80 to 926 of the family's 3401-position model. The record is from RNAcentral. Lineage: Eukaryota; Fungi; Ascomycota; Sordariomycetes; Hypocreales; Cordycipitaceae.
CCAGUAACGGCGAGUGAAGCGGCAACAGCUCAAAUUUGAAAUCUGGCCCUCGGGUCCGAGUUGUAAUUUGUAGAGGAUGCUUUUGGCGAGGUGCCUUCCGAGUUCCCUGGAACGGGACGCCAUAGAGGGUGAGAGCCCCGUCUGGUCGGACACCGAGCCUCUGUAAAGCUCCUUCGACGAGUCGAGUAGUUUGGGAAUGCUGCUCAAAAUGGGAGGUAUAUGUCUUCUAAAGCUAAAUAUUGGCCAGAGACCGAUAGCGCACAAGUAGAGUGAUCGAAAGAUGAAAAGCACUUUGAAAAGAGGGUUAAAAAGUACGUGAAAUUGUUGAAAGGGAAGCGCCUAUGACCAGACUUGAGCCCGGUGAAUCAUCCAGCGUUCUCGCUGGUGCACUUUGCCGGGCCCAGGCCAGCAUCAGUUUGGCGCGGGGGAUAAAGGUGACGGGAAUGUGGCUCCCUCGGGAGUGUUAUAGCCCGCUACGUAAUACCCUGCGCCGGACUGAGGUACGCGCAUUGCAAGGAUGCUGGCGUAAUGGUCAUCAGCGACCCGUCUUGAAACACGGACCCAAGGAGUCGUCUUCGUAUGCGAGUGUUCGGGUGUCAAACCCCUACGCGUAAUGAAAGUGAACGCAGGUGAGAGCUUCGGCGCAUCAUCGACCGAUCCUGAUGUUCUCGGAUGGAUUUGAGUAAGAGCAUACGGGGCCGGACCCGAAAGAAGGUGAACUAUGCCUGUAUAGGGUGAAGCCAGAGGAAACUCUGGUGGAGGCUCGCAGCGGUUCUGACGUGCGAAUCGAUCGUCAAAUAUGGGCAUGGGGGCGA